This 253-nucleotide ribosomal RNA is filed under the name uncultured bacterium. RNAcentral describes it as "partial 16S ribosomal RNA". It matches the Rfam family "Bacterial small subunit ribosomal RNA", at positions 524 to 776 of the family's 1533-position model. The record is from RNAcentral.
UACAGAGGUGGCAAGCGUUGUUCGGAAUUACUGGGCGUAAAGGGCGCGUAGGCGGUUCGUUAAGUCCUGUGUGAAAUCCCCCGGCUCAACUGGGGAACUGCACAGGAAACUAGCGGGCUUGAGUUCGGGAGAGGGAAGCGGAAUUCCGGGUGUAGCGGUGAAAUUCGUAGAUAUUCGCAAGAACACCAGUGGCGAAGGCGGCUCACUGGCCCGGUACUGACGCUGAGGUGCGAAAGCGUGGGGAGCAAACGGG